UUUGGGGGGGGGGGCAUUAUUCUCUACUAACUCUCUUCUCUCCGCCGGUUUUAUCUUCGGCUCUUCCGUUUGAAGAAUUUUUUAUUAAGUCGUUUUUCACCACCUUCAGUUCUCCAGGCAUGUCCAGAACAUGCUGAAAAUCGACUGUUACACACAGUCCUCAGACGGGGACCUCCAAUAUGCAGCUAAGUAAAUUACUGCAUCUGUUACUGCAGUUCCCAAACUCACAGAUUUUUACAAACAGGGCUACCAGAAAGGACAGCGAUGUUCCUGGCUUUGGCUCCCAAAUUGGGUCCUUCGUCCUCUCUUCAAACUGUGGUGUUGAUGCGAUAAAGCACCGGGGUGGGUAAGCCUGGCAGGCCAUGCCAAGGUAUCCUGCUAAGAAAUCAAACCACACAGCAAAUCUAGUGGAAGAGGUUUAUUGGGCUAGGAGGAAGAGUGAAGGGCGACAUCGAGUGAGGACAUUAAGAAGAGAUGGAGACGGCAGGCAGGCAGGCAGGCAGGCAGGCAAGAGAGAAGGGGAAGAGAGAAACCCGGAAGUGGCCGGAGACUUUUAUGUGAUGAACCGGAGAACCUGGUGCACCUGGCAGUAGCAGGUGAUGACGUAAGCUGCUGCUAGGUCGUUGAGGGCAGGCCAGUGAAAGCGACAGUAUUAGACUGAGCUGCAGUUAAACAGUGAAGCAGGUUGGGGAUUUAGCUCAGUAGUAGAGCACUUGCCUAGCAAGCGCAAGGCCCUGGGUUCGGUCCCCAGCUCCGAAAAAAAGAAAGAAAAAAAAAAAAAAGAGGGUAAACAGUGAAGCAGACUCUACUCUUGGUCAAGGAUAGUAGAAUGGGAAUCCAGGAGUGGUGGUGGAUCAUACUUCUAAUCACAGCACCUGGUACAGAGGCAGAAAGGGCAGGAAUUCGAAGUCAUCCUUGGCUUCAAUGCAGUCUCUCCACCUCCAUGGCUCGCCCCACGCAGUGCCUGCCUAUCUCGAGGCUCUCUUGCUGUGGACUCCGUUCAUAUUCCCAGCUACCCGGCCUGAAGAAACCAGUAGAGUUGAUGGAGAAUGGACCAGCCAGGUCCCAGGGAGGCAAAGCCAUGUGAACGCCCUGAAUCAGCAUGGACCCAGAGGGACCUGAGCUAUAAGCCCAGGUGUGGCCCUUGGUGGAGCUGUAGGCGCAGUUCAGUCACCUGAUGACACCCUGCCCUUCCUGGCCUCUCAUUCAUCACCAGCAUAAUCUUCUGGAGCACCUACCUACACAGAGUCUGUGUGCUCCUGUAAAUUCUACCCCAUAGCUGUUGUGAGUCUUUACCAUUUCUGGAGCAUUAAUUGUGACAUUCUCAAA
Non-coding RNA from Rattus norvegicus (Norway rat), 1329 nucleotides. The record is from RefSeq and is a predicted model, not a curated record. NCBI's taxonomy places the organism in Eukaryota, Metazoa, Chordata, Mammalia, Rodentia, Muridae.